AGUCGAGCGGUAAGGCCCUUCGGGGUACACGAGCGGCGAACGGGUGAGUAACACGUGGGUGAUCUGCCUCGCACUUCGGGAUAAGCCUGGGAAACUGGGUCUAAUACCGGAUAUGACUCCUGGUUGCAUGGCUGGGGGUGGAAAGAUUUAUCGGUGCGAGAUGGGCCCGCGGCCUAUCAGCUUGUUGGUGGGGUAAUGGCCUACCAAGGCGACGACGGGUAGCCGGCCUGAGAGGGCGACCGGCCACACUGGGACUGAGACACGGCCCAGACUCCUACGGGAGGCAGCAGUGGGGAAUAUUGCACAAUGGGCGAAAGCCUGAUGCAGCGACGCCGCGUGAGGGAUGACGGCCUUCGGGUUGUAAACCUCUUUCGACAGGGACGAAGCGYGAGUGACGGUACCUGUAGAAGAAGCACCGGCCAACUACGUGCCAGCAGCCGCGGUAAUACGUAGGGUGCGAGCGUUGUCCGGAAUUACUGGGCGUAAAGAGCUUGUAGGCGGUUUGUCGCGUCGUCUGUGAAAACUCACAGCUCAACUGUGAGCUUGCAGGCGAUACGGGCAGACUUGAGUACUGCAGGGGAGACUGGAAUUCCUG
This 595-nucleotide ribosomal RNA is filed under the name Nocardia pneumoniae. Its description in RNAcentral is "bacterial SSU rRNA". It matches the Rfam family "Bacterial small subunit ribosomal RNA", at positions 60 to 672 of the family's 1533-position model. The record is from RNAcentral. Lineage: Bacteria; Bacillati; Actinomycetota; Actinomycetes; Mycobacteriales; Nocardiaceae.